AGUAAGAAACAAAAAAUUUGUAUUUAAUUUCGACCUAAACCUUGAUGAUACCACCAUCCUUACUU
This 65-nucleotide transfer RNA is filed under the name Curculionidae sp. 6 AH-2016. RNAcentral describes it as "tRNA-Arg". The record is from RNAcentral. Lineage: Eukaryota; Metazoa; Arthropoda; Insecta; Coleoptera; Curculionidae.